CUCUUUGUUUUUCGUUUUAUUUAUUUACGUUGAUUAUGCAUGUUCGCGCUUUCUUUGAUUAGGAAAGGGCGGACUCCAGUGCUAAAUUUGGGCUUGGCCUUUUCUUGUGGCUCGACCACCUUAGCUUUGAGCUUCGACUUUCUACUCUGAUAAGUAUAAUAUUUGUUCCUAACUUAUUGGGGAAGCUUGGUGCUUUCCUAAGCUUAAAUUACUUGUUUAUUUUGGAGUCUGCCCUCUCUCUUUCUUCUACUUUCAUUAUUUCCCUUUACAUGGCCUCACAAGCCUCUUAAAAGUUACAGCUUAACCGCUUGGUGGCUAAAGAUUUUAAGGUGGGUCCGAGGCUGUUAUAGUGACAUAUUGCGUCUUACAUUUAUGUUCAUAGAACUUAUGAUUUAAUUACCAACUAUCUAACGGCUAUUUAUUCCUUCUAUUCGAUAGAAUAACUGCAUAUCCGGUGAGAAUCAACCUUCGAUCUUUUUUAUGAGGACUUUCAGCGGCACUGUUUGCGAUAGAAAGAGCCUUCCGUUUACCAUGUUAUGUUGGGCCGGGUUUAUUCGUCGGCAUAACGGCGAUAAACUGUAUUGGAACCGCUGCCAAGCGUCAUUUUUCGUGACUUCGUUCAAUCCUAGAUUUUUGUGAAUACGUCUGCUUUCUCAAGAUUUGGACCAGUCAUCUCUGAAAUAAAAGUUCCAUUUUGUU
Hyalella azteca is the source of this 699-nucleotide long non-coding RNA. RefSeq lists it as uncharacterized. The transcript has 2 exons. The record is from RefSeq and is a predicted model, not a curated record. Lineage: Eukaryota; Metazoa; Arthropoda; Malacostraca; Amphipoda; Hyalellidae.